Molecule: transfer RNA, 85 nt
Filed under: Felis catus (domestic cat)
Lineage: Eukaryota; Metazoa; Chordata; Mammalia; Carnivora; Felidae
Also listed under: 2 other names
Rfam family: tRNA
About the family: Transfer RNA (tRNA) molecules are approximately 80 nucleotides in length. Their secondary structure includes four short double-helical elements and three loops (D, anti-codon, and T loops).
Source: Rfam by way of RNAcentral
ACCUGGGUGGCUCAGUUGGUUAAGCAUCUGACUUCAGCUCAGGUCACGAUCUCACAGUUUGUGGGUUUGAGCCCCGCAUCAGGCU